Molecule: non-coding RNA, 214 nt
Organism: Cinara cedri
Lineage: Eukaryota; Metazoa; Arthropoda; Insecta; Hemiptera; Aphididae
Source: the annotation of a GenBank genome assembly
UCAAUCGACGUCAAAAAUGUGCUUCGCGGCCCGGAAGACAUCUCAUUUCGGGAUUCUGACAGGGAUUCUACAUAUGAUCAAAUCACGGCAGCCUCUUUUCGUGGCUCAAUCAAAUGGCCAUAGGAACGGUGAUCAGUCUUGGACACCAAAGUCUACGCACGCAGCAAAACCCAGUCACCGGUUCAAGGUCAUAUGUACAGAUUAGAUUAGGUUG